GACGAACGCUGGCGGCGUGCUUAACACAUGCAAGUCGAACGGAAAGGCCCCCUUGUGGGGUACUCGAGGGGCGAACGGGGGGGGAAAACGUGAGUAACCUACCCUUGACUUUGGGAUAACUUCAGGAAACUGGGGCUAAUACCGGAUAGGAGCUCCUGCUGCAUGGGGGGGGGUGGAAAGUUUCGGCGGUUGGGGAUGGACUCGCGGCUUAUCAGCUUGUUGGUGGGGUAGUGGCUCACCAAGGCUUUGACGGGUAGCCGGCCUGAGAGGGUGACCGGCCACAUUGGGACUGAGAUACGGCCCAGACUCCUACGGGAGGCAGCAGUGGGGAAUAUUGCACAAUGGGCGGAAGCCUGAUGCAGCAACGCCGCGUGCGGGAUGACGGCCUUCGGGUUGUAAACCGCUUUCGCCUGUGACGAAGCGUGAGUGACGGUAAUGGGUAAAGAAGCACCGGCUAACUACGUG
Molecule: ribosomal RNA, 465 nt
Filed under: uncultured bacterium
Lineage: Bacteria
Description: partial 16S ribosomal RNA
Rfam family: Bacterial small subunit ribosomal RNA
Source: RNAcentral